CCCUCGGCCUCUGGCCGCUGGGACCUGUAGCGUACAUUCGCAGCCAUCCGUCGCUGACGUCCACCCUAAGUUCCCUUGACUGGGACUAUAAUCCAGAGAAGGUGCGAGGCCUGUGAGGGUGACGCUGGUGGCGGUAGGUUGUGCCUUGGAGUCGGAUUGCCUGAGAUCGCAGUCCAAAGAGGGUGGUAAACCUCAUCUAAGGCUAAAUAUGACCACGAGACCGAUAGCAAACAAGUACCGUGAGGGAAAGUUGCAAAGAACUUUGAAGAGAGAGUUCAAGAGGGCGUGAAACCGCUUAGAAGGAAACGGACAGAGCUGACGAAACUCGGCGGCAUUCAUCCGGUCGUCAGCUGCCCGUCUGCGGUCGGCCGAUCCACCAGGACGGUCUUCUGUAGAUGGGGCAGCGACGGCUGGUGCAUUUGCCGCCGGUAUGCACUGAGAGCGCCGCCGUCGUGUUCCGACCGGUUGGGAAGUGGCCCUGGACUUUGGUCUAGGUGUCCUGCCCAGCCAAUAGGAUGAUCGACGGUGGCGUCCUCCGUGGGGUGUUCCGCCGUUUGCGAACAGACUUCUGGUUUUGGUUUGUGCUGCUAGUGGCAGUCGCGUGCGACUUGUCGUUAGCGGUGCAGGUCAGUCUGGUUGAUCUGUGACCUUUGGACGCCUUCUCGGUGUGAAAGUUGGCCACCUGUCCGACCCGUCUUGAAACACGGACCAAGGAGUCUAACAUGUGCGCGAGUCAUUGGGUGGAAAACCUAAAGGCGUAAUGAAAGUGAAGGUUGACUUGAUCAACUGAUAUGGGAUCCGUUCGGUUUCGGCCGAGCGGCGCACCAUAGCCCCAUCUCGACCGCUUGCGGUAGGGUGGCGGCAGAGCGUACACGUUGGGACCCGAAAGAUGGUGAACUAUGCCUGAGCAGGACGAAGCCAAAGGGAACUCUG
Molecule: ribosomal RNA, 933 nt
Filed under: Plectus sp. 5 HMM2018
Lineage: Eukaryota; Metazoa; Nematoda; Chromadorea; Plectida; Plectidae
Description: eukaryotic LSU rRNA
Rfam family: Eukaryotic large subunit ribosomal RNA
Source: RNAcentral